GGAGGGUUGGCAUGAGUGGCUGAUGGCGCCUCCUUGAUACGGAGGUAGACCCGCAAGGGUCUCGAGGGUUCGAAUCCCUCACCCUAUA
Molecule: transfer RNA, 88 nt
Filed under: Bradyrhizobium lablabi
Lineage: Bacteria; Pseudomonadati; Pseudomonadota; Alphaproteobacteria; Hyphomicrobiales; Nitrobacteraceae
Description: tRNA_Ile_GAT
Rfam family: tRNA
About the family: Transfer RNA (tRNA) molecules are approximately 80 nucleotides in length.
Source: RNAcentral